GAUCCUGGCUCAGGAUGAACGCUGGCGGCGUGCCUAAUACAUGCAAGUAGAACGCUGAAGGAGGAGCUUGCUCUUUCCGGAUGAGUUGCGAACGGGUGAGUAACGCGUAGGUAACCUGCCUGGUAGCGGGGGAUAACUAUUGGAAACGAUAGCUAAUACCGCAUAACAGUAGAUAUUGCAUGAUAUCUGCUUGAAAGGUGCAAUUGCAUCACUACCAGAUGG
Molecule: ribosomal RNA, 222 nt
Filed under: uncultured bacterium
Lineage: Bacteria
Description: partial 16S ribosomal RNA
Rfam family: Bacterial small subunit ribosomal RNA
Source: RNAcentral